This 167-nucleotide non-coding RNA is filed under the name uncultured Symbiodinium. Lineage: Eukaryota; Dinophyceae; Suessiales; Symbiodiniaceae. The record is from RNAcentral.
GAAAAGGAAAGGAAGAUAUUAACCCAGCCAACAAACCCAAGGGCUGGCCUCUUUUCUAUUUUAUCUUUUACUUUUCUUUUUCAUUAUCUUUUUCCUUUCUUCUCGUGUAUUGGUUCAUCCUUGACAUGUGUGUGAACCAAAGAGAAGAAAAGAGGGAAAAAGGACUU